RNAcentral lists this ribosomal RNA (409 nucleotides) under uncultured bacterium. RNAcentral describes it as "bacterial SSU rRNA". It matches the Rfam family "Bacterial small subunit ribosomal RNA", at positions 365 to 767 of the family's 1533-position model. The record is from RNAcentral.
UUGGCAUUGGGGGGAACCCUGAUCAGCCUGCCGCGUGUGUGAAGAAGGCCUUUUGGUUGUAAAGCACUUUAAGCGAGGAGGAGGCUACUCUAGUUAAUACCUAGAGAUAGUGGACGUUACUCGCAGAAUAAGCACCGGCUAACUCUGUGCCAGCAGCCGCGGUAAUACAGAGGGUGCGAGCGUUAAUCGGAUUUACUGGGCGUAAAGCGUGCGUAGGUGGCCAAUUAAGUCAAAUGUGAAAUCCCCGAGCUUAACUUGGGAAUUGCAUUCGAUACUGGUUGGCUAGAGUAUGGGAGAGGAUGGUAGAAUUCCAGGUGUAGCGGUGAAAUGCGUAGAGAUCUGGAGGAAUACCGAUGGCGAAGGCAGCCAUCUGGCCUAAUACUGACACUGAGGUACGAAAGCAUGGGGA